RNAcentral lists this ribosomal RNA (495 nucleotides) under uncultured bacterium. RNAcentral's name for it is "bacterial SSU rRNA". It matches the Rfam family "Bacterial small subunit ribosomal RNA", at positions 903 to 1397 of the family's 1533-position model. The record is from RNAcentral.
AAAUGAAUAGACGGGGACCCGCACAAGCGGUGGAUGAUGUGGAUUAAUUCGAUGCAACGCGAAAAACCUUACCUACCCUUGACAUGCCAGGGAUUCUGUCGAGAGGCGGAAGUGCCCGCAAGGGAACCUGGACACAGGUGCUGCAUGGCUGUCGUCAGCUCGUGUCGUGAGAUGUUGGGUUAAGUCCCGCAACGAGCGCAACCCUUGUCAUUAAUUGCCAUCAUUAAGUUGGGCACUUUAAUGAGACUGCCGGUGACAAGCCGGAGGAAGGUGGGGAUGACGUCAAGUCCUCAUGGCCCUUAUGGGUAGGGCUUCACACGUCAUACAAUGGUCGGUCCAGAGGGUCGCAAAGCCGCGAGGCGGAGCCAAUCCCAGAAAGCCGAUCGUAGUCCGGAUUGCAGUCUGCAACUCGACUGCAUGAAGUCGGAAUCGCUAGUAAUCGCGGAUCAGCAUGUCGCGGUGAAUACGUUCCCGGGUCUUGUACACACCGCCCGU